Molecule: long non-coding RNA, 2242 nt
Organism: Anguilla rostrata (American eel)
Lineage: Eukaryota; Metazoa; Chordata; Actinopteri; Anguilliformes; Anguillidae
Exons: 5
Source: RefSeq, a predicted model, not a curated record
UUGAGAUCAUUGCUCUAUGUGAUGAUUUGUUGCUGUCAUGAGUGUUGCACAACAUAAUGGUUUGCACUUCCUGUGAAUAAGUAGUUCCUUUCUCAAGAAUACAAGAACACGCAAAAACAAAACUUACAAGGAGUACCUACCAUCCACCAAAAGCAAGCAUAUAAAUUAAAAGGUAACAGUGUGUUUCAGUUAUUUUGUAAUGGAUAUUCAUUAGCGUGGCAGAGUAUGUUUUGAAACAACACACCAGAAGGGCUGCAGGAAGACCCUGGGCAGGGACUUUGGGCAGUCCUUUUAACACUACCAUUGCAAAGGAUGACAACAUUUUGCUGCUCUCAAAUACUUUUCAGUAACGUGCAAAUCCGAAUUCAAGUUCAAGUCGACUGUGGAGGAAGGAAGAAUUGAAGUUUCUGCUACGCCGGUGCGAGCGUUUUGGUUUUGAGUGCACCGUUUGAACGCUUGUGGAGAGGAAGCUGAGUAAGAGUGUUUGUCCGUGAGUGGAGCAUGCGUGUGAUAUAGAGACCUCUCAGUCUCUUGACAGCUGGUGCAUGUAGACAGGAUGGUGUCCCUUUACAAUUUGUGCAAUUUUUAUCUCAUUCUCGCACUUAGUAUUACAUGUACAGAUGCAGCGAACAUCAUAGCAGCACGUGGAAGCUCUGUCUGUCUCCCCUGCGCCUCAGACCUGUACAGUAAUAGCACAGUUACAGUUACAUGGAGAAAAAAUGGACGCCCUGGGAUUCUGUGCCAAUACCGUGUGCUAAACGGCACAGCUGCAGAUACAAUAUCAAAAUCAUGUGACGACCGUAUCAAUAGAACAACACAACCUCCAACGCUCUGUAUAAGUGGAGUAAAAACCAGAGACGCUGGUCAUUAUAACUGUUCAGUGACUAGAGCCAUACCCCCACCAACGGUGGAUCGCUUCUACAAGGUGGAACUUCAUGUUGAAGGUCCACCGCGUGUCAUCAUACAAUCCCAGACAAGCAACACAUCAGACUGCCUUUGGCUACUGUGUGAGCUGGAUGGCCUGGACUCAGCACAGGUGAACAUCACCUGGAGCAGAAAUGGACAAAGCAUAUCUGAAACAACCAGUUCCCUACACGUGUGCAACCAUGACUGGAGUGAGGGAGACACGUUCACCUGCAACGCUAGCCAGUUUUCCAGUUACACAGACCUCAGUGCCAGCAUAACCAUCACACAGAAUCACACAAGAGAGGAUGUCUCCAAAUACUCUCUGAUUAUAAUCUGUGGGGGUGCAUUGACUGGAACCCUGGUCCUCAUCUGCCUGGUCAUCUGUAUUUAUAAAUGUAAGAAAGCUCAUUCAAAUGAUGCAUCCAUAGUGUACACCAACAAGGUCUAUGAGAAUUUCAGUUUCAGCACCACAGGCCAACAGACGCAGAGGAAUGUCUCAACACAGCAGGAGCAAUGUGUUUAUGAGAACUAACAACAAAUCUGUGCACUCCCUGUAUAACAGCUUCCGUAUGCUCCUCGGAGUGAAUUUCACUUAUACAGUAAAUUAUGAUGCAGAGAGCUGGCCUUUCAGCCAAUCUACGCUCACCAUUUGCCUACAGCUGGUGAUUAUCUAGCAAUGUGCCAAGCCUGGACCCAGAGGAUCUCUGCCUCUACUAGAUGACCUGGAAAGCUAUUUACUCCAUGUGACGAACAAACAAAACCAAAAAAAAAAUCCUGAUAUCCUUGCAGAACUUACCUUUUACACCAAUGCCCCAUGUUCAGAACCCAGUCUGAGCCUUAAUAACUGUUGAUAACUUUUUAUGAAUUUAAAAACUUCAGUCACCUUUCUCCUUUCACUAAGCCUGAAAAGAUCCUCUAUUGUAACACUCAUCUUUUGUAACAUUAACAUUCACACCAGGAACACAUUUAGUUACCCUUCUCUUUCCUGAAACUUGUAUAUCUUCCUUAUAGCAUGGUCACAGAAUUACUGUACACACAGUAAUUCUAAAGUGUGUUGUGAACAUACAGUAGUAACAUGCAUUGCAUCUCUGUGCAUCUUCUAUUUUGUUUGGUGUGUUUUACAUGUUGCAAUUGUGUAUGUGAAAUGAUCCAUUUCACUUGUGUGAAACAGGUUUUAAUUUUUUUUUUAAUGACCACAUAGAAUGAGGACCUUUUGCAAUGUGAGCAAUGCAAUUAUUUAGAUUAGACUUAAUAUAUGCCAUACACUUUGCUGUUAUGGUUAUAUGAUUGUUUAUUUAAAUAGAAUAUUUUAAUAAAGGACUUCAAAAAAAUUUCA